Molecule: long non-coding RNA, 363 nt
Filed under: Hordeum vulgare
Lineage: Eukaryota; Viridiplantae; Streptophyta; Magnoliopsida; Poales; Poaceae
Description: long non-coding RNA (HVUL_LNC005538)
Source: RNAcentral
CGCACAAUUACACAUGACAUGAUGCCUUGCCCCCCUCCCCGCGCCACCAUCUCCGCUACCCCCUCCCGUCGUCUUGCGCUCCGGAUCGAACAUCCCUCCCUCCCGUCUCCUUGUCCUCGCGUAGCCUUCACACUUGCGCAACGUAUCUUUCCUCGGAGCACCGCACCACCACCUCAGUCAGCUGCAAGCUGACUGCGUUAUAUGCUAGAGCUCAUCUUUGCUUGAUCUUGCGAGGACCGAACAGGGGAACGGCCGAUCGGGUCAGCAUGUUUGAAGGGAUGGAGGGGAUGAGCUACGGCGGCGGCGGUGCUGGUGACGGGGCGGCGUCCCGGGACCCGAAGCAGCGGCUGCGGUGGACGCCNN